UAGGGAAUCUUCGGCAAUGGGGGCAACCCUGACCGAGCAACGCCGCGUGAGUGAAGAAGGUUUUCGGAUCGUAAAGCUCUGUUGUAAGAGAAGAACGUGUGUGAGAGUGGAAAGUUCACACAGUGACGGUAACUUACCAGAAAGGGACGGCUAACUACGUGCCAGCAGCCGCGGUAAUACGUAGGUCCCGAGCGUUGUCCGGAUUUAUUGGGCGUAAAGCGAGCGCAAGCGGUUUAAUAAGUCUGAAGUUAAAGGCAGUGGCUUAACCAUUGUUCGCUUUGGAAACUGUUAAACUUGAGUGCAGAAGGGGAGAGUGGAAUUCCAUGUGUAGCGGUGAAAUGCGUAGAUAUAUGGAGGAACACCGGUGGCGAAAGCGGCUCUCUGGUCUGUAACUGACGCUGAGGCUCGAAAGCGUGGGGAGCAAACAGG
This 429-nucleotide ribosomal RNA is filed under the name bacterium. Its description in RNAcentral is "partial 16S ribosomal RNA". It matches the Rfam family "Bacterial small subunit ribosomal RNA", at positions 355 to 776 of the family's 1533-position model. The record is from RNAcentral.